Molecule: ribosomal RNA, 357 nt
Filed under: uncultured bacterium
Lineage: Bacteria
Description: bacterial SSU rRNA
Rfam family: Bacterial small subunit ribosomal RNA
Source: RNAcentral
AGAGUUUGAUCAUGGCUCAGGAUGAACGCUAGCUACAGGCUUAACACAUGCAAGUCGAGGGGAAACGAUAUUGGAAGCUUGCUUCGUGAUAGGCGUCGACCGGCGUACGGGUGAGUAACGCGUAUCCAACCUGCCCACCACUUGGGGAUAACCUUGCGAAAGUAAGACUAAUACCCAAUGACGUCUCUAGAAGACAUCUGAAAGAGGUUAAAGAUUUAUUGGUGAUGGAUGGGGAUGCGUCUGAUUAGCUUGUUGGCGGGGUAACGGCCCACCAAGGCGACGAUCAGUAGGGGUUCUGAGAGGAAGGCCCCCCACAUUGGAACUGAGACACGGUCCAAACUCCUACGGGAGGCAGCA